UUACUCCCUGAAGUUUACAUUUUAAUUUCCAAAAGUUCUCUGCCGUUAAAUUUUUUAACUCCGUUAGUUAAAGAAUUUUAACGGCAGAGACCUUUUGGGAAUUAAAAUGUAAACUUCAGGGAUUAA
RNAcentral lists this microRNA precursor (126 nucleotides) under Glycine max (soybean). Its description in RNAcentral is "miR10186f stem-loop (gma-MIR10186f)". The record is from miRBase by way of RNAcentral. Lineage: Eukaryota; Viridiplantae; Streptophyta; Magnoliopsida; Fabales; Fabaceae.